This 87-nucleotide non-coding RNA is filed under the name Pseudomonas fragi. The record is from RNAcentral. Lineage: Bacteria; Pseudomonadati; Pseudomonadota; Gammaproteobacteria; Pseudomonadales; Pseudomonadaceae.
UGUGGGAGCGGGCUUGCCCGCGAUGCAGGCGCUGCGGUCUGCCUGUCGAAUCACGGUGAUGCCAUCGCGAGCAAGCCCGCUCCCACA